UUAUAAGCCAAAAUCAACUUUUUAGAUUCAUUCAAUAAAUGAUGUAUUUGGUCUAUAUUACUGAUCAAAUGCAUCAUUUAUUAAAUGAACCUAAAAAAUUGAUUUUUGCUUAUAA
This is a microRNA precursor of Medicago truncatula (barrel medic), 115 nucleotides long. It matches the Rfam family "MIR2593 microRNA precursor family". NCBI's taxonomy places the organism in Eukaryota, Viridiplantae, Streptophyta, Magnoliopsida, Fabales, Fabaceae. The record is from Rfam.